AUCUUAUCGAGAGAGGUGGAGGGACUGGCCCUAUGAAACCCAACAACCGGCAUUUAAUCGAAAAUGUGGCGGUGUUAAUUCCAGCAGAAAUUUUCUGAAAGAUAAGAG
RNAcentral lists this non-coding RNA (108 nucleotides) under Clostridium pasteurianum. RNAcentral's name for it is "SAM-I sequence". It matches the Rfam family "SAM riboswitch aptamer (S box leader)". Rfam says of the family: The SAM riboswitch is found upstream of a number of genes which code for proteins involved in methionine or cysteine biosynthesis in Gram-positive bacteria. Lineage: Bacteria; Bacillati; Bacillota; Clostridia; Eubacteriales; Clostridiaceae. RNAcentral also lists the same sequence under 1 other name. The record is from RNAcentral.